This 458-nucleotide ribosomal RNA is filed under the name uncultured bacterium. Its description in RNAcentral is "partial 16S ribosomal RNA". It matches the Rfam family "Bacterial small subunit ribosomal RNA", at positions 338 to 795 of the family's 1533-position model. The record is from RNAcentral.
CCUACGGGUGGCAGCAGUGGGGAAUAUUGCACAAUGGGGGAAACCCUGAUGCAGCGACGCCGCGUGAGUGAAGAAGUAUUUCGGUAUGUAAAGCCCUAUUAGCAGGGAAGAAAUAGCGACCUUUGGGUCGCCAGACGGUACCUGACUAAGAAGCCCCGGCUAACUACGUGCCAGCAGCCGCGGUAAUACGUAGGGGGCAAGCGUUAUCCGGAUUUACUGGGUGUAAAGGGAGCGUAGACGGCAGCACAAGUCUGAAGUGAAAUGCCGGGGCUUAACCCCGGAACUGCUUUGGAAACUGUGCAGCUAGAGUGCAGGGGAGGUAAGUGGGAAUGCUAGUGUAGCGGUGAAAUGCGUAGAUAUUAGGAGGAACACCAGUGGCGGAGGCGACUUACUGGACUGUAACUGACGUUGAGGCUCGAAAGCGUGGGGAGCAAACAGGAUUAGAUACCCUUGUAGUC